GAACAGUGGUUUCGGGACCACAAAUCUGACAAGGAAAAAAUUUAUUUUUCUUAUAUUUUUAUGGUCUACGAUUUCACGGAAUUAUUUUGUAAAAAUUUUGUUCGAAAAUUUCGACGUUUGGGCACUCAAUUUAGUCAAAAGGACUAAAUUGUAAAAAGUGCAAAAGUUGAGUUCUACAAGUUAGAGGUGUCUAAUUAUUAUGAAAUUUUAAAUUGGAGGUCCUUAAAUGGUAAUUAGACCAUUGGUUAUUUAUGGACAAAAAUAGACAUGGUUAGUAAGUAAGCUAUUUAAGGGCAUUUUGGUAAAAUGCCUUAAUUAAUGAAUAAAGACAAAAUAACAUGAAAUAAAUUAUCAUCUUCUUCAAUUCUUUUCUUCAUGGCCGUAUGUAGCAAGGGAACACCAUGGCUAGGGUUUGUUCAUCUUCCAAGCUUCAUGAUCAAGAAGAACGAAACUCGAGGUUAGACAAAGGGAAGAAUAAAGUUGAAGACUAAGUUGUUGAAUUGGACUAUAUUUGAUACCGAGUAUUGCAAAGCUACUUCAAGGAUCCUAAAGAAGUCGGAGAUCGUCCACACUAUCAACCACAACGCUUCGGUAUUUUAUAUCGAAUCACGUUUGAGUUAUGGCAUGUAUAGGGAUUUAGUUAUUUUGUAUGUUUGUGAUUAUGAUUUUGCUAAAGAAUGGUGUGUAAGUAUUUGAUGAUGUAUGGUUAUUAAAAUGGUUAAGUA
Long non-coding RNA from Gossypium raimondii (Peruvian cotton), 725 nucleotides. RefSeq lists it as uncharacterized. NCBI's taxonomy places the organism in Eukaryota, Viridiplantae, Streptophyta, Magnoliopsida, Malvales, Malvaceae. The transcript is spliced from 3 exons. The record is from RefSeq and is a predicted model, not a curated record.